GACGAACCGUACGAACGUUAUUCGGAAUCACUGGGCUUAAAGGGUGCGUAGGCUGCGCGGAAAGUUGGGUGUAAAAUCCCUCGGCUCAACCGAGGAACUGCGCCCAAAACUGCCGUGCUCGAGGGAGACAGAGGUGAGCGGAACUUAGGGUGGAGCGGUGAAAUGCGUUGAUAUCCUAAGGAACACCGGUGGCGAAAGCGGCUCACUGGGUCUCUUCUGACGCUGAGGCACGAAAGCUAGGGUAGCGAACGGGG
This 254-nucleotide ribosomal RNA is filed under the name uncultured bacterium. Its description in RNAcentral is "partial 16S ribosomal RNA". It matches the Rfam family "Bacterial small subunit ribosomal RNA", at positions 524 to 777 of the family's 1533-position model. The record is from RNAcentral.